GGGCAUUGCAUCGCAAGCUCCACCGUAGCUGUCUCCAUCUCCACAGCAGCUCCUUCCAAUCCGUCUUCUCUCCAUUCAGAUUCUGAACAAUCGUACGGAAAACCAAAAAUCCCCAAAUUCCAAAACCAAGAAACUGCUGUCUCAUCCUCAUCCUCCUCCUCCAUCUCGUUGAUUUUCUCCAAUUAUUGUUGCAGUCAAUGUUCGUUCUUCAUUAUCGGCUAAAGGUGAUCCAAGUUUUUAAUCGCCAAAAAGAAAGAGCACCGAAAGUAAUGUCGACCAAGAUAUGUGUAGUGAUUCGAUCUUUUCAUCACCCAAACCUUUUGUGGGGGCUUCCACCUUCUACACGGAGGAUUGCAUUGCCUGAAUCACGAGUCUUAUAUACUGUGUUGCGAUCACCUCAUAUUGAUAAAAAGUCCAGAGAGCAGUUUGAAA
This is a non-coding RNA of Prunus avium (sweet cherry), 432 nucleotides long. Lineage: Eukaryota; Viridiplantae; Streptophyta; Magnoliopsida; Rosales; Rosaceae. The record is from RefSeq and is a predicted model, not a curated record.